GCCAGCUGCGGUGGUGUGUGCCUGUAGUCCCGGCUACUCGGGAGGCUGAGACAGGAGGAUCGCUUGAGUCCAGGAGUUCUGGGCUAUAGUGCACUAUGCCGUUCAGGUGUCUGCACUAAGUUCGACAUCAAUAUGGUGACCUCCUGGGAGUCGGGGGCCACCAGGUUGCCUAAGAAGGGGUGAACCGGCCCAGACUGGGAACGGAGCAGGUCAAAACUCCCAUGCUGAUCAGUAGUGGGAUCCUACCUGUGAUUAGCCACUGCACUCCAGCCUGGGCAACAUAGAGAAACCCCAUCUCUU
This is a non-coding RNA of Otolemur garnettii (small-eared galago), 300 nucleotides long. The record is from Rfam. NCBI's taxonomy places the organism in Eukaryota, Metazoa, Chordata, Mammalia, Primates, Galagidae.